Bos taurus (domestic cattle) is the source of this 2316-nucleotide long non-coding RNA. Lineage: Eukaryota; Metazoa; Chordata; Mammalia; Artiodactyla; Bovidae. The record is from Ensembl.
GGGUGGGGGAACUGGCUGGUUUAGAUCAGGAGGCUCAUGGUAACAGUUGCUAUGGGGCCUGGUUAAUUCCAGAAAUUUUUGUCUUGUGACCUUGCUCUAAGGCUCCACACCUGUGACCUUGGUCUAAGCCUUCACACCUGUGACCUUGGUGUAAGUUUCCAUGCCUGUGACCUUGGUCUAAGGCUUCACACCUGUGACCUUGGGCUAAGGCUCCACACCUGUGACCUUGGGCUAAGCCUUCACACCUGUGACCUUGGUCUAAGGCUCCACACCUGUGAUCUUGGUACAGGGCUCCACAUGCUGGAUAUGAGGCGGGGGGGAGGGGGAGGGGUUCCAGGAGAAGUCAAGUCAGCCCUUCCCUGGACCAGUGAUCAAGAAAACACCAAGCAGGUGGCAGGCCCUGUGGCCCAGGAUCGACCUGGCUGCUGACCUUGCCAGUCACCCUCGCCAGCCUGGGGAGGCUCCCGCAGCCCCAGGGACUGGCAGGCCGCCCCAGCAUCCACUGUCUCAUCCCCAGGGCUGUGAAAGAAAGACACAGGUCUUCCAUUGUGUGCAAGGGAGUGUGGCUGUGGGCGGGGAGCCUCAGACAGAGCAUGUGGUGGGGGGGAUAGGCUCCCUAAUGAAACAAAGGCUUGACUGUUAGAGGAUCCCUCGCCGAGUCAUGCAUUUGGAUUGUGAGGCUUGGGUUAAGGAAAGAGCUUUCUCUGCAAGCACAACAGAUGCCUGGAAGUGACGUGCCCGCUCCAGAUGCUUGUGGGAGGCAAGACUGAAAGCCCCAGCGUGGCUAGUGGUCAGGGCCACCGCACUGCCAAGCAGGUCUUGGGAGCUGAAGACUGAAGAACGUGAGGAGAGAGGCUGUGUCCUUCACUUCAUGGAUCUGCGGGGCAACGCUGUACUACUGCGCUGAAGGAGAAGCCUAAUAGCGCCAAACCGCUGCUCAGACCCUGCAUAGUCGGAGGAACAGCUCCCAGGAACACACGAGAGGUGGCGCUGCAGAGAGGCUGGCUGGGGCACCAGCCCACCCGGGGAAAGACUGGAUCCUUGGAGUUGAGGCUCCCAAGGCCCCUAUGGACAUCCAGUGGGUAAAAGAGAUCCCAGAAGGCCUAAUGGACCCAUGCAGUGGGCUGCGCAAUCUCCCAGGCCGCUUUCUAGGGGAAAAGCAGCUUCGCCAAGUGCUGUGACAUCUCUAUCUUGAUGAAGACCCCAAGGAGGCAUUUGCGAGCAAGAUCUACCUAAGUCGCUGCAGCUCAGGCCGCACCAGAGGGUGACGAUGACCUGGGAGAGGUCUAUUCACUGCCCCUUUGCCUGCCAGCAUCUAGUCUGAGGCUUCCACAGCUUUUUUGAGGAUGUGAACUUCAUGUUGGUCAUGUUGGGGCUCUGCUGCUGGAGAUCUCUCUUGGAGCUACAUCAGUGGAGGAAAUCCAUAAGCCAGGACGAGACCCGCUGCUACCUGAGGCAGAUAGUCCUUGAAAGUGAAAGUGAAAGUGAAGUCGCUCAGUUGUGUCCAACUCUUUGUGACCCCAUGGACUGUAGCCUACAACACUCCUCUGUCCAUAGGAUUUUCCAGGCAAGAGUACUGGAGUGGGUUGCCAUUUUCUUCUCCAGAGGAUCUUCCCAACCCAGGGAUCGAACCUGGGUCUCCCACAUUGUAGCCAGAUGCUUUACCAUCUGAGACACCGGGGAAGUCUAUGCAGUCAAGAUAGUCCUUGACUGCACCCAAACCAGGUUGUUCACCAGGAUCUCAAGCUGGGCAGAGUCUUCCUGAAUGAGGAUGUGGAGGUGAAAAUAGGAGAUUUGGACUGGCAACCAAAGAUGAAUAUGUUGGGGAGCAGAAGAGCCUAUCUAAAUACCUAGUGCUUCCCUAGUAGCUCAGUGGUAAAGAAUUUGCCUCCCAAUGCAGGAGACCUGAGUUUGAUCCCUGGGUUGGGCAGAUCCCCUGGAGAAGGAAAUGGCAACCCACUCCAGUAUUCUUCCCUGGGAAAUCCCAUGGAUGGAGAAGGCAAAGAGUCGGAUGCUACUUAGCGACUAAACAACAGAUUCCUGAGGUGUAAGCAAGAAAAGGCAGCAUUUCUAGGUGGUCGUGGGGUCCACUGGGUACGUCAUGUUAGUAAGGGCAGCUCACCUUUGAGAUCUCUUGCCUAAAACUUACUGACUUCUGGAUCAAGAAGAAUGAAUGCACUGUUCCCAAGCACAUAAUUGCCUCUUCCAGAAGAUGCUGUAGGCAGACGCCACUGGUCACCUGACCGUUCAUGAGCAGCUCAAGACCAGUUUUUCUGGCUACGUCCCAGCCGAUCCCCCAUUACCUGCCCCCACUAU